CCCUUAGAUGUUCUGGGCUGCACGCGCGCUACACUGAUGCACUCAACGAGUUUACGACCUUGCCCGAUAGGGUUGGGUAAUCUUUUUAAAAUGCGUCGUGAUGGGGAUAGAUUAUUGCAAUUAUUAAUCUUCAACGAGGAAUUCCUAGUAAGCGCGAGUCAUCAGCUCGUGCUGAUUACGUCCCUGCCCUUUGUACACACCGCCCGUCGCUCCUACCGAUUGAGUGCUCAGGUGAAUAAUUCGGACUGCAGCAAUGUUUGGAUCCCGAACGUUGCAGCGGAAAGUUUAGUGAACCUUAUCACUUAGAGGAAGGAGAAGUCGUAACA
RNAcentral lists this ribosomal RNA (326 nucleotides) under uncultured eukaryote. RNAcentral describes it as "partial 18S ribosomal RNA". It matches the Rfam family "Eukaryotic small subunit ribosomal RNA", at positions 1470 to 1796 of the family's 1831-position model. The record is from RNAcentral.